GACGAACGCUGGCGGCGUGCCUAAUACAUGCAAGUAGAACGCUGAAGGAGGAGCUUGCUUCUCUGGAUGAGUUGCGAACGGGUGAGUAACGCGUAGGUAACCUGCCUGGUAGCGGGGGAUAACUAUUGGAAACGAUAGCUAAUACCGCAUAAGAGUAGAUGUUGCAUGACAUUUACUUAAAAGGUGCAAUUGCAUCACUACCAGAUGGACCUGCGUUGUAUUAGCUAGUUGGUGAGGUAACGGCUCACCAAGGCAACGAUACAUAGCCGACCUGAGAGGGGGAUCGGCCACACUGGGACUGAGACACGGCCCAGACUCCUACGGGAGGCAGCAGUAGGGAAUCUUCGGCAAUGGACGGAAGUCUGACCGAGCAACGCCGCGGGAGUGAAGAAGGUUUUCGGAUCGUAAAGCUCUGUUGUAAGAGAAGAACGAGUGUGAGAGUGGAAAGUUCACACUGUGACGGUAUCUUACCAGAAAGGGACGGCUAACUACGUG
This 495-nucleotide ribosomal RNA is filed under the name uncultured bacterium. Its description in RNAcentral is "partial 16S ribosomal RNA". It matches the Rfam family "Bacterial small subunit ribosomal RNA", at positions 28 to 507 of the family's 1533-position model. The record is from RNAcentral.